CGGCCCUCGCGGGGGUGCAUUGUAGUUGCAUUGCAUGUGUCAGACUGGGAGUGCAAUGCCCCUGCCAUGCAGCCCGGCGGGGGUCCC
Strix occidentalis caurina (northern spotted owl) is the source of this 87-nucleotide microRNA precursor. Lineage: Eukaryota; Metazoa; Chordata; Aves; Strigiformes; Strigidae. The record is from Ensembl.